RNAcentral lists this ribosomal RNA (1569 nucleotides) under Salmonella enterica subsp. enterica serovar Typhimurium. RNAcentral describes it as "partial 23S ribosomal RNA". It matches the Rfam family "Bacterial large subunit ribosomal RNA", at positions 1271 to 2823 of the family's 2925-position model. Lineage: Bacteria; Pseudomonadati; Pseudomonadota; Gammaproteobacteria; Enterobacterales; Enterobacteriaceae. The record is from RNAcentral.
UGCUGGAGGUAUCAGAAGUGCGAAUGCUGACAUAAGUAACGAUAAAGCGGGUGAAAAGCCCGCUCGCCGGAAGACCAAGGGUUCCUGUCCAACGUUAAUCGGGGCAGGGUGAGUCGACCCCUAAGGCGAGGCCGAAAGGCGUAGUCGAUGGGAAACGGGUUAAUAUUCCCGUACUUGGUGUUACUGCGAAGGGGGGACGGAGAAGGCUAUGUUGGCCGGGCGACGGUUGUCCCGGUUUAAGCGUGUAGGUGUGUGUUCCAGGUAAAUCCGGUUCACUUUAACACUGAGGCGUGACGACGAGGCACUACGGUGCUGAAGCAACAAAUGCCCUGCUUCCAGGAAAAGCCUCUAAGCAUCAGGUAACACGAAAUCGUACCCCAAACCGACACAGGUGGUCAGGUAGAGAAUACCAAGGCGCUUGAGAGAACUCGGGUGAAGGAACUAGGCAAAAUGGUGCCGUAACUUCGGGAGAAGGCACGCUGACACGUAGGUGAAGUGAUUUACUCAUGGAGCUGAAGUCAGUCGAAGAUACCAGCUGGCUGCAACUGUUUAUUAAAAACACAGCACUGUGCAAACACGAAAGUGGACGUAUACGGUGUGACGCCUGCCCGGUGCCGGAAGGUUAAUUGAUGGGGUCAGCGUAAGCGAAGCUCCUGAUCGAAGCCCCGGUAAACGGCGGCCGUAACUAUAACGGUCCUAAGGUAGCGAAAUUCCUUGUCGGGUAAGUUCCGACCUGCACGAAUGGCGUAAUGAUGGCCAGGCUGUCUCCACCCGAGACUCAGUGAAAUUGAACUCGCUGUGAAGAUGCAGUGUACCCGCGGCAAGACGGAAAGACCCCGUGAACCUUUACUAUAGCUUGACACUGAACAUUGAGCCUUGAUGUGUAGGAUAGGUGGGAGGCUUUGAAGUGUGGACGCCAGUCUGCAUGGAGCCGACCUUGAAAUACCACCCUUUAAUGUUUGAUGUUCUAACGUGGACCCGUAAUCCGGGUUGCGGACAGUGUCUGGUGGGUAGUUUGACUGGGGCGGUCUCCUCCUAAAGAGUAACGGAGGAGCACGAAGGUUGGCUAAUCCUGGUCGGACAUCAGGAGGUUAGUGCAAUGGCAUAAGCCAGCUUGACUGCGAGCGUGACGGCGCGAGCAGGUGCGAAAGCAGGUCAUAGUGAUCCGGUGGUUCUGAAUGGAAGGGCCAUCGCUCAACGGAUAAAAGGUACUCCGGGGAUAACAGGCUGAUACCGCCCAAGAGUUCAUAUCGACGGCGGUGUUUGGCACCUCGAUGUCGGCUCAUCACAUCCUGGGGCUGAAGUAGGUCCCAAGGGUAUGGCUGUUCGCCAUUUAAAGUGGUACGCGAGCUGGGUUUAGAACGUCGUGAGACAGUUCGGUCCCUAUCUGCCGUGGGCGCUGGAGAACUGAGGGGGGCUGCUCCUAGUACGAGAGGACCGGAGUGGACGCAUCACUGGUGUUCGGGUUGUCAUGCCAAUGGCACUGCCCGGUAGCUAAAUGCGGAAGAGAUAAGUGCUGAAAGCAUCUAAGCACGAAACUUGCCCCGAGAUGAGUUCUCCCUGAGACUU